Molecule: ribosomal RNA, 301 nt
Filed under: uncultured bacterium
Lineage: Bacteria
Description: partial 16S ribosomal RNA
Rfam family: Bacterial small subunit ribosomal RNA
Source: RNAcentral
CAGCCGCCGCGGUAAUACGAAGGGGGCUAGCGUUGCUCGGAAUGACUGGGCGUAAAGGGCGCGUAGGCGGCAUGUACAGUCAGACGUGAAAUUCCUGGGCUUAACCUGGGGGCUGCGUUUGAUACGUGCAGGCUAGAGUGGGGAAGAGGGUUGUGGAAUUCCCAGUGUAGAGGUGAAAUUCGUAGAUAUUGGGAAGAACACCGGUGGCGAAGGCGGCAACCUGGUCCUUGACUGACGCUGAGGCGCGAAAGCGUGGGGAGCAAACAGGAUUAGAUACCCCCGUAGUCCCUGUCUCUUAUAC